Molecule: ribosomal RNA, 496 nt
Filed under: uncultured bacterium
Lineage: Bacteria
Description: partial 16S ribosomal RNA
Rfam family: Bacterial small subunit ribosomal RNA
Source: RNAcentral
GAUGAACGCUGGCGGCGUGCCUAAUACAUGCAAGUCGAGCGAACGGACGAGAAGCUUGCUUCUCUGAUGUUAGCGGCGGACGGGUGAGUAACACGUGGAUAACCUACCUAUAAGACUGGGAUAACUUCGGGAAACCGUAGCUAAUACCGGAUAAUAUUUUGAACCGCAUGGUUCAAAAGUGAAAGACGGUCUUGCUGUCACUUAUAGAUGGAUCCGCGCUGCAUUAUCUAGUUGGUAAGGUAACGGCUUACCAAGGCAACGAUGCAUAGCCGACCUGAGAGGGUGAUCGGCCACACUGGAACUGAGACACGGUCCAGACUCCUACGGGAGGCAGCAGUAGGGAAUCUUCCGCAAUGGGCGAAAGCCUGACGGAGCAACGCCGCGUGAGUGAUGAAGGUCUUCGGAUCGUAAAACUCUGUUAUUAGGGAAGAACAUAUGUGUAAGUAACUGUGCACAUCUUGACGGUACCUAAGCAGAAAGCCACGGCUAACUACGU